This 1117-nucleotide long non-coding RNA is filed under the name Gadus morhua (Atlantic cod). RNAcentral's name for it is "lncRNA (ENSGMOG00000031667.1)". Lineage: Eukaryota; Metazoa; Chordata; Actinopteri; Gadiformes; Gadidae. The record is from RNAcentral.
CGGCUCUCGGUGUGUGUGUAUCAUUUGACUUGGUGGCGUGGAAACCCCACACCCACUGGCCCGCUACAGUAGCUUAAAUAAUGACAUAAUCAGGCCGUAUAGAAUGCAACAUGUUUAAUAGCCUAACUUUCAAUAGAUGAGGAAAAACAUGAACGUCGCAAUAACGAGGCAUAGUAUUACGAGUAGCAUAUGUGUGUGCGCGAGAAUGGCAGUGUGCGUAUGCGUGUGUGAGUGACGUCAGCGAGUGAGUGGACGAGCGAGGAGAGCGAGCGGUAGAGCGUGUGUCUAGUGAAGAAGCGAACGAGUCCGGUAGAAUAAAGUACCCAUCAAUAAUCGGUGGCCGCUUCAUUCUGACCUAUAAGCAGACAAACUGCCAGUCAAAUCACACAAAACAAUAGAGACAGGAUCACACAGACAUUUCGCGCUUGGCCCACUCUGGAUAAAUGUCGUUCAUAUCGCAUAUGAGGACUUCGACGGCUGUGGAGAAAUGCAAUCCUCCGUAGCCACGGAGAGCUGUGAUCACAGAGAGGGCAUCUCGUCACAUAUUUACGGCAUCAAUAGGAGGGGGCGCUGUCAGCAGACUAAUAUUUAGACCGAUUAUUAGCAAAUUUCUAUCGGACAAUUUGACCGAAGCGUUAGAAAGGGCAUAUCGCGCUUCUGCCUUCUCAGACCGCGAGACAGGUUUGUGGCUUUGAGUAUCGCGAUUUUCGGUUUGAUACGCGUAUCGUUACAGCCCUAGUUGUUAUAGUGCGAUUCAAUGAAGCAGAGGCAAGUGUAUCUGCCAUCCUGGUGAAGCUGAAGGUGGCCAUGGGAGACGAGCACGACUACAUCCUUACAGACACACUCAGCAAUGAAAUUGUGGAGUCAGAAGGGACAACUGGGUCUUUGUACUGGAGGCAGAAUUCACGGAAAAUCCAUGCUAUUGAGAGUACCGCAUACCGGCAAUGGCGUCGACGACGAUCAAGUAACAGGUAUUGUUUAGAUAGCAAAACAUAUUUUUUCCCCCAACACCCCAUAGCAGGUCCUGGGUUUGAAUCCUGGCUUGGGCAGGAACUUUCAAUGAGGAGUUUGCACGUUCUCCCCGUGCCUGUGUGGGUUUCCUCCAGGGGCUCUUGUU